UACGUAGGGUGCGAGCGUUGCCCGGAUUUAUUGGGCGUAAAGAGCUCGUAGGUGGUUUGUCGCGUUGUUCGUGAAAACUCACAGCUUAACUGUGGGCGUGCGGGCGAUACGGGCAGACUGGAGUACUGCAGGGGAGACUGGAAUUCCUGGUGUAGCGGUGGAAUGCGCAGAUAUCAGGAGGAACACCGGUGGCGAAGGCGGGUCUCUGGGCAGUAACUGACGCUGAGGAGCGAAAGCGUGGGGAGCGAACAGG
This 253-nucleotide ribosomal RNA is filed under the name uncultured bacterium. RNAcentral's name for it is "partial 16S ribosomal RNA". It matches the Rfam family "Bacterial small subunit ribosomal RNA", at positions 524 to 776 of the family's 1533-position model. The record is from RNAcentral.